RNAcentral lists this ribosomal RNA (209 nucleotides) under uncultured bacterium. Its description in RNAcentral is "partial 16S ribosomal RNA". It matches the Rfam family "Bacterial small subunit ribosomal RNA", at positions 524 to 732 of the family's 1533-position model. The record is from RNAcentral.
UACGUAGGGUGCGAGCGUUGUCCGGAAUUACUGGGCGUAAAGAGCUCGUAGGUGGUUUGUCGCGUUGUCCGUGAAAUUCCCUGGCUUAACUGGGGGCGUGCGGGCGAUACGGGCAGACUGGAGUACUGCAGGGGAGACUGGAAUUCCUGGUGUAGCGGUGAAAUGCGCAGAUAUCAGGAGGAACACCGGUGGUGAAGGCGGGUCUCUGG